AUGAUCACUUUAGAAAAAAAAAAAGAAAGGAUACCCGAGGCAGAAACAAAAAUAGAAACCGUACAGGCUCGAGCGCUCGACCCUUGGCCCGCCGCCGGAGCUCGUCUCGCCCGCGGCCGAUCCUCUCCAUCCGCUCGCCGCGCCACAACCCGGAGAGGAGACAGCGCUCGAUCGACCACCAGCUGGGGCCCAGCGUCCUCGCGAGUCGCGACCAGCUCCGGCGCGGCGUCCGCCCUCUGCAGCCCCGGUGUCCCCGGCGACCGCCGCCGCUGUCCUACUCCUACCUCGCCACUCGCCACAUUGGCCGGCGACGAGCACCACCAGGACACCAGGGCCUGGAUGCUGAACCAAUGGUGUCGGGCAUCGGCUGCUCUUACCCUGUUACUGGAAGGAAGCGCGUAAAGUUGUUGGCAACCGAGUUGUCGGAUAGUGAACCCCUUGUCUGUUGCGUGCCAAUAUGUCACGAUUCACUGGGGGACUUGCUUGACCGGUGCUCUGAACGGCAUCACGUGGCUUCUGGUAGUGGUGACCCAACAGAGAACACUGGUGUGUUUCCUGCAAUGCAGGAAUAUGCCUGUUCCACUGUUAACAAUGGUGUGGUUUAUCCACAAUCUGCGAUGGGCUAUUCAUCUGGUCAAAUUGGGGCACAGGGCGCAUACAUGCAACAUCAACAUUUUGAAGGUUGCAUGUAUAUGAGCGGGAAUGGGCAGAUGUGCGGACCUUACCCACCUGAACAACUGUAUGAGGGGCUGUCCACUGGUUUCUUGCCUCAAAGCCUCGCUGUCUAUGCUGUUUUUGGUGGGAAAACAGCCGAUCCUGUGCAGUUGAUCUUUCUGAAACAAUUCCUUUCACAAUGGAAUGUCGGUGCCAUGGCUUCCACACCAAAUGCUUCGACGGAGACAGCGAAAGUGGCUUCCCAUGCUAAAAUGGUUUUUCCAGAUUCUCUUUCAAGCGAAGAAUCAUGCUGGAUGUUUGAGGAUUCAGAAGGUUGCCGACAAGGGCCACAUUCUCUUGCUGAACUUUCCUAUUGGCAUCACAAUAGCUAUAUCCAAGAUCUUUCAAUGAUUUACCAUGUUCAUGGCAAAUUUGGCCCAUUCACACUUGUAUCACUAAUGGGUAUGUGGAGUGGGGAACACACAGAGCGUUCGGAAGCUACAGACAACGAUUCUGCAUCAUUCAAUGGCUUAGUGGGGGACAUAGUUGAUGAUGUUAGCCAUCAGCUGCAUGCAGGGAUUAUGAAAUCAGCUCGCAGGGUUUUAAUUGAUGAAAUAUUCAGCUCUAUACUUCCAGAUUUAAUUGUUUCCAAGAAGACUGAGAAGCAACUGGCUGCAAAACUGAAGAACCAGGUUACUAAGCCUGACAGUGUGAGCAACAAGAAGGAUUCCACAGUUAAGGUCAAAGUUAACACAUCAUGUACUGUUCCAAAAAAAGGCAACUCCUGUUAUACAGCCGCAGUGGAUUGUUCGGCGGCAAUUCAAUUUACAGCAGUGCAUGGUAAAUUUGCUGGUAUACUAUCAGCAGUUCAGCAAACAGUUUAUUGUGAAUCCAUGAAGAAUGUAUGGGACGAAAUACUGUCUAAACGUGUUAUGGACUACUGUGAUGUAUGGUUACAGAGAAAUUGUUUAUUGAAUCUGCCCUCUACAAGUAUUUCCGUCACCCCUGAUGAUAAAAUAAAAGCCCAAGACAGUGAUGAAUUGUCACCAAAGGAUUUAGAUGCUACUGAAUGUGACAUGGACUUUCCACCUGGAUUUGGACCAUGUUGGAAAUCUCCUGAGAGCUCCCUCUCUCCAUCCUUAUUAGAAGUUAAUGGAAGUGCUAAAACAGAUGGGAAGUCUGAAUCAGGCACCACUUUAUUUUCUGGCCCCUUAGCAGUAGUCCAGAGGAUGCUGGCAAAUGACCUAUAUAUCUCAUCGAAGCAGUCUUUAUUUCAUUAUUUUGAGGAGGUUAUUGCAGAGGAGAUAACAAAUUGUUUAUGCUUUGGACUCGAAAGCAGUAUUGAUCAGGAACAAAUUGGUACCCCUAUUCAUGCACCAGAAUCACCCGUGUCAGCCGAAACGUCUAUGCACGAAACACUCAAUCCUAUUGAGAUGACUGGAGGCGAUGAACUGAAUAUUGUUGAAAUGGCUAUGUCUACAAGAACCACUCCAAUUGAAAUGGCUGUAGAUGAAGAGCUGAAUACUGUUGAAGCUACAAGAACCAGUCUAACUGAACCAACUUCAGCUGAAACAUCAACUGCUGCUGAAAUGGCAACAGAUAAAAUGCCUACUUCUCAUGUGGAAGAGCACCUAUCCAUGUCGUAUGCAAGGAUAUUUGAAAAGAUGGAUAUAUGUAAGACAGCGGAAUUGGAUGAGAAAUUUGAUGAAGUGCCUCCUGGAAUGGAGACUGGCUUAGUCCCUGUACCACUUAUGGACAAAAACAUAUAUCAACCUUCAAAAUCCAUGAACUCUAUUCCUUUGAUUUCUAGAUAUAUAACCUUGGCUCUCUGCCGGCAAAAACUACAUGAGAAUGUUGUGAGAGAGUGGACAUCUCUCUUCUCUGAUACGAUUAGCAAGUGCUUGGGCUCAUGGUACACCAGGAGAAAUGCUGUACCUAAAAGUGCAGAUGGAUCAUCAAAACCCAAAGAGAAAACAUACUACAGGAAGAGGAAAUUUGAGAAAACGUGUCAAGCAAAAUCAUCAAAAAAACCAGUGGAAAUCUCAAUGGAUGAGCAGCUUUCAAAACCUCUCUGUCAGCUUGUUGACCGCAAGAUUUAUGUGAAAAAUAUCCAGGAAUCAAACAAAGCUUUGACAUCAAAGAAAGUUUCAUUUGUGGACAAGCCCUCCAAAAAAGGAGCCAAACCUGUGGCUAAUGAUGCUCAUGAUUUGAAUAUCCAGCAAGAUCUGACACUCCUUUCUAGUGAGGUGCCAAAAAGAGCCAGGUCAUCUCAUCCAACUAAGAAGCACAUGGUUGCUAACAGGACACCUACGGUGAACGAUAAUGUGGCGAAUAAUAGUAUGCUCACGAAACAUGUCAAGAAAAAAAAGGGCAGGGACAUUUCCAGUGAGACCAGUCAGAAGGUAAAACCAAUGAUCUCAUGCCCAGAAUCAGAUGGUUGUGCUAGAGCUUCUAUUAAUGGAUGGGAGUGGCGCAAUUGGGCGCGGAAUGCUACUCCAUCAGAAAGGGCUCGUGUGAGAGGGUACCGUGUUCGGACUAUUCUUUCUGCCUCAAAUAAUAAUGUUUGGAAAAAUUCUCAAGCAAAGGUUUCAUCUGCAAGAACCAAUCGGGUUAAACUGCGAAAUCUGUUAGCAGCCGCUGAAGGUGCUGAGCUGCUGAAAAUUACCCAAAUGAAGGCAAGGAAAAAGCGCUUGCGUUUUCAGAGGAGCAAGAUCCAUGAAUGGGGUCUGGUCGCACUUGAGUUGAUCGAAGCAGAAGACUUUGUUAUAGAAUAUGUUGGUCAACUGAUUCACCGGCGGGUGUCUGACAUACGCGAGUCUCAAUAUGAGAAGAGUGGGAUUGGAAGCAGUUACCUCUUCCGCUUGGAUGAUGAUUUUGUGGUUGAUGCCACUAAGCGUGGUGGGUUAGCAAGGUUCAUAAAUCAUUCUUGUGAGCCAAAUUGCUACACAAAGGUGAUCACUGUCGAUGGCCAGAAGAAGAUUUUCAUUUAUGCAAAGAGGCGUAUAUAUGCUGGUGAGGAAAUUACAUAUAAUUACAAGUUUCCAUUGGAGGAAGAAAAGAUACCGUGCCAUUGUGGUUCUCGGAGGUGCCGUGGGUCAAUGAACUAAGAAGGCCAUCUUUUGAGGAUUUACAUCAAUAUCAAAGUGUGGAGUGCAUGAACAUGCUGGACAGCAAGAACAAACUGCGCAUUAUACUUAUUUAAGCUAUUGUCCUGACUAAUUUCAAGUUAUCCCAAGGAUGGUGCAAGAGGAGGCCCAAUACAGUAUGAUGCCCUGCUCUGCCUCGUGGAGGUGGCUGGCAUGGAUAUCAGUUGACGAUGGGCUGAGCUAGUAAAGGGUUGUUUUCUGACAAGGUCAAUACUAUUGUUUUUUGACAUACCUGGGUAGAGUCGCAAACUCUUGUACAGGCGCAGGCUUUACUUAUUACAUUGUUUGGAUUGAGGAUAUAGUUCACAUGGUGGAUAUGAAAUGGAUGUUAUGAGCACCAAACUGAACUGAAUGGAUGCCCUACUCCUGUUGAUCUGACUUGAAUGGACGGCAUGGAUGGCAGUGUGGGCUGGAUGACCAUUUGCUGCAAUAGUACAUCCUGGAAACAAAUCAACUAUUUUCCACCCGGGUCUACACGUUUUGCAGCAAUCUGGAGUAGCUUUUGGUUUUAGCCACUUCAUCCAUUCCAGUGGCGUGAAAAAUAUUUAUUUACUGCACCCUUCAUUUGGCGUGUCACUUUAUGCAAAUCCUACUCUAUGGUAGUGCACUGGGGGUGCAAGUUAUCUUUCUGUAAAGCGGUGCAAGUGUUUAUUCAUGGACCUACUGUUCUUGCAUGCAGGUACCAAAUCUGCAUAGGCUUGUCGAUUCAUCCAUGAGGUAUGCAUGUAGGCGUCCACGAAUUUUCCAAAUGUGUGGUAUGUGUUCAUCUCUUUAUUGGUUGCCUAUAUGCUUUCUUCGUGCAUUUUGGUGCAUUUUGAUCAAGCACUAGAACCGAUAGCUCACAUUCACUACGGUCACAACUCACAAAUGCUUAUGUUUUUGUACAAGAUCCAGCCGAAGUAUUAAAAGUUUUAUUUUAUUUGGAAACAAAAAAAACAUGUGUAGAUUUGUCUUGAAAAGAAACAUAGCAAUAUCAUAAAUCUAUAAGGUUUUAAUGUUUUAUAAUAAAAAUCACAUGUACUGAAAACAUAUAUGGUCUCAUAAAGCCACUGGAUUUUGUAACAUUCUAGUACAAUAGAAAUACAAAGCAGUGGUCAAAACAUCCACCGGAGAACAUGUCAUGUCAAGUAUUUUUAAUCGCAUGCCUCCUGAUUCACACUGUUUUGUGUUUAGCCAGAGGAUUAGGUUUGGCAGCUCGGAUGCAUGCGUGCAAAUGGAUUACGCGACUAGCUACCCACCGUAAGUUUUGGCUGCCUACGUAAUAUGGACAAGGAUUAACCCAAAAAAAUUGCAUGGGUUGUGAUGGAGGCAUCUGCUUCUUGAAAUUUUGACUGCCAACCGAAAGAGUGACCAAGCCUUAAAAGUGACAAGGUUGGUUUUAGCAAAACUAAACAAGGUUUUGCACAGGCAAAGGCCGAAAACAAGCAAUCAUGUGCAAUCCAAGAAUGAGGUCCUGCGUUUCUCUAUAAUAUUCGUGGCAAUUGAAAGAGAGCCAAGUUAAGCGGAGAUGGAUAGGUGCACCACGUAUUUUGCUCCCUGCAAUGAUUAGUUACAUCACUGCUUUAAGCUCUUCACCACGUAAUUGAAAGAGAGCAAAGUUAAAGCGUGAUGUUUAUUAGUAGUUCUAAUUUCGGCCGGAAGGCAGGAUGUGGUCAUUUAGAUGAAAUUUGAGUUUGGCUUUUGGGCCUAGAUGUGGACCUGAAAUUACGAAUUUCUUCCUGGGCCUGCCUCUUGGUCAUUACUCAUUGGAAAGAAGAAAAAGAAUAAAAAUUCCUUACAUGCCAUUAGCAUAAACCUAAAUCCCUUAUCUGCAACCUAAAAAACACAAUUCUCAUAUAUGUAAUUGGUGUUAGACUGUAAUCCUCUCGUAUCAAGGUAAUUGUCUGAGUAAGUAUAUCAACAUGCAUAUGUCAAUAUUGCUCCUACUAGUCCCCAAAUCGCAAAGGUAGGCAAUAAUGAGCAAAUGGGUGGCUCGGUGAUAAAGGUGUCGGUAGAGAUGAAUCUUCGAUUGAGGAGCACGUGCCGUGUGCUGCUAGGCUGUAGUGUGUGGGAGUUGCUCAGUGUGUGGGCGAUGUGGUUGCUAGCUGCUAUUGCUGGAUGUGCUGAUUGGCUGUUAUCGUGUCAUUUUUUGGUUGUGGAGGGUAAGCCCUGUUGACACUCCUCACAUGUAUCCUUCCAAAGUUCCAAGGAUGUGUUGUCAAAAAAAAAGUUCCAAGGUUGCAUAAGUACAAUAUAAUCUGCAUCAUGUGCUCGGUUCGGGGCAUAAGUGGGGAGCAACUAAAUUUGUGUUCAAGUGAGAGGGUGGGCAAAUUGAUCUUUUUGAUGCCUAUUAGCUAAGACUAACAGAAUAUGAUCAGCAAUGACGUGAAAGAGAUUAAAAUUUAUAGAUAGUGCUACUAGUGGGAUUUGAGUUUUUUUUUAGCCAAUGACAUGUAGCAAGAUUUCCAUAGAAAGUUGUUUCAAAAAAAAAUCCAUAGAAAGUGAGCUUAGUUUCACAUGAAGUUAAGUUGUCGAGUACUCCAUCCAGUCAAAAGUACCCCAUGUUUUGGAUGUGUAAUUUAACCAUUAUUUUAUUUCAUUAUUUAUUUCAGCAUAUUUCUAAAUCUAGUAAGUAUAAGAUUAUAAAAGUAUCUUUGAAUGUAGAGAUCUAUAUAUCCUAAAAGUUAUUGGUAGUCAAGUUUUUUCACGAGUUUGACCAGAUCUUGUACAAAAUAGACCAGCUGAAGUACUUAAUUUUAUUUUUUUAAAAAAAUAUAUGAUAUUUAUGACAAGAUGGUUAAUUUUUUUAACCAAUUAGCUUGUUAUAUAUACUCCAUUCUAAUUAGCUUUGUUCCAAAUUAUAAGUAGUUUUAGAUUUGUCCUAGGUCAAAUUUCUCUAGUUUUGAGUAAGUUUAUGGAAAAAUAUAUUAGAAUCUGAAAUAUAAGAAAGUUCACUAUUAAACUAUAUUUCAUGGUGUAUCUGAUGAUUUUUUAUUUUAUGCUGUAGAAAUCUAUGAAUUUUUCCAUAAAUUUGGUCAAAGCUAGACAAGUUUUAUUUUGGACAAAGCUAUAACAUACAUUUUGAAACAAAGAAAGUACAAAAAAAUGGAGGGAAUACUUAGUACUUUUGUAUUGCCUGCAUCAUUUAACAAAAAUAUAAUGACAAAGAACUCGCGAGGGGGAGUAGUGCGCCAUUUAGUUUUUACUUUUGAAUAGGUGACUUGUUUGCUCUCUAGUAAAAUUAUCUCAAGGAGAUCGAUCUUCAGUUCAUUUUAGUCAUGCUCACUCGAUGGUAUUACCUCUGUUCUAAAUCAUAGUUUUUUUUUCAUAUAUAAUUUUUAUUAUGUAUAUAGACAAUGUAUAACUAGGCGUAGAACUUUGUUGUACAUCUUGAAAAAACUAAACACAGACCUAUAAUUUAAGUUCGGAGGGAGUAGACUGCUUUUGCUUGAUUGGAAGAGCGUAGGUGAGCGUGAAGUCACUUUUACUGGAGUCACUUUAUUGAGUAUUUUGGUUUAUUGGAUUUGAAGCUUAUUUGAACAGGGGACCUUGAUAGUUCCAAAAGGGUUUGUACCUUUUUCUUCCUCUUUAUUUUCUUUAUAUUAUUACUACUAAUACGACUUUUUUCUUUUA
RNA transcript from Sorghum bicolor (sorghum), 7412 nucleotides. It is a transcript of the gene named histone-lysine N-methyltransferase ATXR7, with no coding region annotated. The transcript has 17 exons. Lineage: Eukaryota; Viridiplantae; Streptophyta; Magnoliopsida; Poales; Poaceae. The record is from RefSeq and is a predicted model, not a curated record.